This is a non-coding RNA of Podarcis lilfordi (Lilford's wall lizard), 75 nucleotides long. NCBI's taxonomy places the organism in Eukaryota, Metazoa, Chordata, Lepidosauria, Squamata, Lacertidae. The record is from the annotation of a GenBank genome assembly.
UUGCUGAUAGCUUGGUGGGUAGGCAUGAGACUCUUUAAUCUCAGGGUUGUGGGUUCAAGCCCCAUACUGGGCAAA